CCUACGGGUGGCAGCAGUGAGGAAUAUUGGUCAAUGGGCGCGAGCCUGAACCAGCCAAGUCGCGUGAAGGAUGACUGCCCUACGGGUUGUAAACUUCUUUUAUAAAGGAAUAAAGUGAGGCACGUGUGCCUUUUUGUAUGUACUUUAUGAAUAAGGAUCGGCUAACUCCGUGCCAGCAGCCGCGGUAAUACGGAGGAUCCGAGCGUUAUCCGGAUUUAUUGGGUUUAAAGGGAGCGUAGAUGGGUUGUUAAGUCAGUUGUGAAAGUCUGCGGCUCAACCGUGAAAUUGCAAUUGAUACUGGCAGCCUUGAGUACAGUUGAGGUAGGCGGAAUUCGUGGUGUAGCGGUGAAAUGCUUAGAUAUCACGAAGAACACCGAUUGCGAAGGCAGCCUACUAAACUGCCACUGACAUUGAGGCACGAAAGUGUGGGUAGCAAACAGGAUUAGAUACCCUAGUAGUC
RNAcentral lists this ribosomal RNA (460 nucleotides) under uncultured bacterium. RNAcentral's name for it is "partial 16S ribosomal RNA". It matches the Rfam family "Bacterial small subunit ribosomal RNA", at positions 338 to 795 of the family's 1533-position model. The record is from RNAcentral.